Long non-coding RNA from Mangifera indica (mango), 10765 nucleotides. RefSeq lists it as uncharacterized. The transcript has 3 exons. The record is from RefSeq and is a predicted model, not a curated record. NCBI's taxonomy places the organism in Eukaryota, Viridiplantae, Streptophyta, Magnoliopsida, Sapindales, Anacardiaceae.
AAUUACACUGAUUGAUUACGUGUAUGGAUCGGGUGGGGGCAUCACCAGUGUUUUAUUUAUACCUCUUUUCAUCUGUUCUCAGAUAUUUUUCAUGCCUUCCUCUUUCUCUCUCUUUUCUUCAAUAGCUUUUUCUGUAACAAUUUCAUCGUCUCCUUCUAAAAACCAGGUCUCAUAUCAUCUUUUACACGUUAUCUCUCAUCUGUCUAUUCGAUUUUUCAUUGAUUUUGAUACUAUCCUUCGUCAAUGGAUUUGCAUUUUUGUGAAUUUAAGUUUACGUAUAUGCACAUCCGGAGCUCCUUUUCACGUUUACUGCUGGUUCCUUCGCUGUAAUUUGUUGCUCGAAGCUAUGAUUACCUUUCAGUUUGAGGUACUAGUUUGUCGAAGGAUGGACUUUGAUUAAAGGAAUGCGUGCGCUUGCCUUUCAGAAGGACAUUUAUCACAGGAUGGUCUUUGACUGGUCUAACACAGAUCGUGAGGUAAGUUUUUGAAGUUUAAUAUAAUAAUUAAAUGGAGGAAUCUAAGAGGUACACAUUGCUUGACUGCCAUGUCUCCUCCAAUAAAAUUUAGUAUUACAGUUUUGCUCCAAUGAACUUGCGUGUAGUUUAGUUUUCUAAGUACUAAAUUUGAGAUGCUUUAUGGUUUUGUGUUUCCCUCUGUAUACAUUCUUUUCUAAAGUAUCUGCAUGAUGGUGGUGUUAUCUUAUUAUUGAAGCAGAAAACUAGGUGUUUAAUCUUUUAAUCUAAGUUAUACUGAAAUAAAAUUAUGUAUAACCUUUGUCCCAGUAGACCAUCUCAAAGACUUAAAAUUUCUUAAAUGAUGUGUUGCACAUCCUGUGCAAUUUCAUUUCUCUUUAUUUCAUUUAUCUUUACAUAAAUAGCAGGGUUCCUUCAUCAUAACACAACACUAAAGUUAGAUUUUUAAUCAUUUUCAAACCAAAGUCUUUUAACUGAAAGGUAUGUGGUUUACAUACCACAUCUCACUAAUAGAAGCAUAACUUGCAAUGUUGAUAGAAAACGAGCAACAGCUUUCCCACUUUGUUGCAUAUACUUCGUUAUUGCAAUUGUAGUCUGCUGCAUUUUCCAAGGAAAAUAAUUUGUGAUCAAAAUUGUUGGAAAGUACUUGGUAUUAGUAAUUUAAACAUCUAUUGGGAUGGAGGAACCAUACCCCAAUUUUGUUGCUCUUGCUGGUGUCUCAUAAUUUUGUUGCUGAGGCUGGCUAAGCUGGAGAUGGACAGGCACAUGCGAAUCCUCGCCAACGCCUAGAUUGCUGGUAAGCAGUGAGUUUCUGUUUGCUCCAUUCACAUCCCUUGUACCAUAGACCUGGUAUGUGUAAUUUUUCUGUUUGAGGGUGGUUUUAUAACAUCUUCCAACUUGACAAAGGUUUAUGAUUGAAUCAUACAAGAAUAUUAAGGAUGAUUGAACUUUGUGUUAUUUAAAACUAUACCUUAUUCAAUUCGAUGUUUUCUUGACGAAUUAGGUUUACCUUCUUAUAGAGUUCCACAUUUUCCUGGUGAAUGAGAUUCCCCUACAACAAAGAAGAUGGAUUUUUACUUCUCGAAUUUAAAUGGAAAGAUUGAAGAAAUCAUUAGCCAUUUUCUUGGAUUCACCUUUCGGUUUAGUUCAUGUAUUUCAUCCAUUAGAAUCUGGUCCUGCAAAAAAAAAUAUAUAUAAACUAGUAAGAGUGUUAUGCUUUAUAUGCCAAGUAAUUGGAGUUUUACUCAUUGUAUGGGAGAUAAGAUUUGUAAACCUUUUUCAUACGAACACCUCGAAGACUCAUUUCCAAUUGGCUGUCCAAAUUCUGCAGAUCCUUUACACUCAAACCAGAAAGCUCUUCACCCAUCAUUUGCCUGUUAGUCAUAUGGACAUAUAGCUUAGGCCUUUAAAUGUAUGUAUGUUCAAUGUUCAGUUUUUUGUUCUCAAGGUCACAAAUGAAUUCACCCAUUAAUGCAUCUUCUAUUCUUGGAGUACUAUCGGUGUUGAUAAUGUUUUAGUUAUGUCCUAUUGAAGCAUUUUAGACUUGUAGUGGUAGCUUCUGUUCAUCAAUUUAGGUUAUCUUUCACUAUCAUAUUCCGGAUCAGCUUCAUUUUUGCCUUGCCAGUUAGUGAAAAGUUGCUUAAAGUUCUGUUUCUUUUCUAUCAUGUCAUGGGAAAUUGCUACCUUUUAACUGUUAAUAUGCAACCACAAUUUCAUACGUAGUAAAGUAUUCUAGCUCAAUCUAGUAAACGAUGAGAUAUCCAUCCUAGCUGUAGCGUUGUUUUUGUCCAUGCUUAUAUUUCCUUGAAGAUUGACUCUGAACUUGUUUUCUAUGUGGAUUCUAGAUCCUUAAGUUUGUACUUUACUCCUGGAUAUUAUAAAUAUUUCUAGAGGUGUAUGUAAGGUUUAUGCACGCAGAGCUUCAUGUGCUGAGAAGUCUCAGAGGCUAGACUGUGUUGAGGAUUGAAAUUUAAUGUGCUAACAAAAAUCACCCACAUGUGAACUUAGUGAAAUGAUAGUUAUAAUAAGAAAGAAGAUCAUACCGAUGAUUUUCUUGCAAACUCUGCAACUGUUGCCUUAAUAUUGCCACUUCUUGUUGCCAGAACUAGAAGUAAGAUACAAAAUGGUUUGAUAUUCUAGGAUUUCUGGUUAGCAUAAUUACAUUAUGAACAACUGAUAAUGACUAAUAAAUCUUAUGUCAAGGAACACUAUUUAACACAUCUGAAAAGAUAGUUUCUGUUAAUUGAUGAAUUGCAUGUUUGAUUUUGAAUCCAAAGCUUACCGAACUGAACAAUGCAUGUACAAUAUCAAAUGCUUAUAAGAAUGCAUUUUGUGUUUAUACUCAUAAUGCAAGAUUGAGCUUUGACUCUUGAUUUUUCCCACAUCUUCUCUUCUUCAUUCUGGAUCAAUAUUUAUGUGAACAAUUUGUAAACUAAGAUAUGAAAUUUCAGGCUAACCUUAUUAAUUAGCUAAUAUUAAUGUUUCAACCAUCACAGCAGUAAAGUUUUGGGGUUUUAUAAAACAACUUUUUCAGCUCCAUUAUCCUCCAGGUGUCAGAUGUCUUACAUGGUGUUUAAAAUUUCAAGCUCCGAAUUCAAAAUGAUGUUUUAUCUUGUAGCCACAACCAUUGGUCAAUUCAAAAAGUAGUCUCAAUUGUUGUUUGCUGGCAACCUACUUUAUGGGAUGCAACAAAAUCAUGGAUGACGAUGUUGAUCUUUGCAUGUCAUAUAUGCUGCUAUGCUUUUACAGAAAAACAUUCUUCAUAGGCUAACAACUUAGAUGUUUAAUUUUAUUUCUAUCUUUAAUUUUUUGUCAGCGCAAGCUAAAUAGAUGCUUCUGCACUGCCGUAGAAAUCAUAUCAAGUAUGCAUUGAAGAUGAAAUUACAAAUUACAGUUUAGGCACAGAAUUGAAGAUUACCUUGACUUCAGAGGCUGGGUUCCCUAGUUGAUGAUGGUCUUCUUUUGAUUUGUUGUAACGUUCAAUUAUUGAUUUCAUGCUGGUAUAAGAAUAGUUGAAAUGUUAGAUAAAUGCGGCUGUUUAACUGAGUAGAGACAUCUAAAAGAUAGCAUCAAGAAUCACCAAAAAACAGAAUUUAUAGAAAGCAAAUUGAUAUGCUCUGUUAACAGUAUUAUGUAUGUCUUCUCUUGUGUUCCCUUCCUGCAGAUCUUAAUUUAUUUUGUUCAAAGUUCAUGAAGUUGAAGUCAUGUUACUUAUAGAAACAGCUUGGAGACAUUUCUAAGAAACUUGAAUCUGCAAGUGCAGGUAACAGUUAGAGCACAAUCUGAAAACCUUUUUUUCAAUUUAUUUUAUAUAAUGCCAAGUUUGUUUCAAUAAGUUUGGAGUUGGUCUCUUUUCUUUUAUCUUACUUUUAGUGGCUGAAAAUUUAGAAAACAGUUUACUCUUUUGAAGCUGAUAAAUACGUAUGGGAGCUUCACUGAUUGCCAUUCUGUUGUUUUGUGCAAUUUUCCUUUUCUACAGCUUUACUUUGUUAGAUGCCCCUCUACUCUUCUGUACUGAAGAAAGCUAGUCUAAGUAGCUGAAUUCUUACACUUUUUUCUGGAUGCAGUCAUCAUUAUUGUAAUUUGUGUAACUCUUCAUGAGGUAUACGCAGUGGUAUUUUGAGGAACCAUACAAUAGAUCUAGCUGUCUAUGCAUACGUGACAGGUUUACAGAAUUAUUUGCCUGUCAUUCCACUGAAUUUCCUUUAAAGUACUACAUAAGUUCUUUUAUUAUAACUUUUUGGGUUUAUAUCAUAAGUUGUCCACGUUCUAUGAGCUGUAGUAUUUAAAACUGUCUUGUGGUGUUAAGGAUGAGAAGAAGAGCAACCAAAAAAUAGACAAUCUUGUUCAGAGAUAGAAGAGGAUACGGAUGAAAAAAAUGGUAGAAAAGGUAUGCAUGUCAGUGAAUCUAUUAUAGGUGAUUCAUGCUGCACCAGGGACUUCUAACCAUCUUAUCAUUUCUGUUUUUGUCUUUUCCCUGUGGUUCACCAGGGAACAAUUUGGCUUAAAUCUAGAUCCUCUUAUAGGUGAUUCAUGAUGUGCUCAUGACUUAACCAUCUCAUCAUUUCUGUUUUUGUUGAUUUUUCUGUGAUUGACCAGGAACAAACAAUGUGGAUUAAAGCUGGGUUCCCUUAUAAACUAUGUGAGAUGAUAAAUAGACAAGUUUCGUGUAGCUGAGUUAACAACUGAGAAGGAACAUUAUUGAGGUACUAAUUUGGUUUUAAGAUGGAUGAAAUGCAUGACAGGAGUAUAUUUAUCUUCACUGCCAUAUAUACAGGCUCAUUCAUCAUGCUUUUCUUCUCUGGGGCCUUGCAUGCGUAAAUGUAGAAUCAUUCAGUGAUAUCUUAACUGAAUUUUAUUAUAGCUUAUGUUUUUAGUUAAAUCAGGUUACAGAGUGAUUUGCCUCAUGCAUGAUUGUGAAACUUUUUGCCUAAAGUGAUAUUCUGCUUAUCUUUUCAAGAGUAGUGCAAUUUUUGGUACCAGCACCACAUUCCCUCUCUUUAGUGAACCCAAAUCAGGGAACUCAAUGAGAAACCAAUAAGACCAGCUUUUUUAAUUCAUGUUCUUGGUCCUUACUGAAGCAAUUAAACAGCUUUUUAUUUUUGUAUCUAUUUCACAAGUUCUUAGUUUUAUUGAUGUUUUGUUUGUUUGGGUAUCUUCACCCUCUCCAUGUGUCAUUUUGGUGUGUCUCCCAACCUAACACCUGGAAUCAAAAUUGCUCUUUCUCCUCUGCUUACAAGAGGGACACUGCCAAUAGGCCAAACAGCCAUUGGUACUUUUAUGAAAGUAAAAUAGUUACAAACAUAUAGGUUUCGUCAUAGGAACAACUGAUAUUGUUCUGGGUUCAGUCAUAGCAUCAUUGGUUAAGAAUAUGAGAUUGAAUGAAAAUUCCAACUACUCAUCACUCCUAGAAAUACCCAUAUUACUGUCAUCUGCUUUGCCUAUUUAGUAAUUUUAGAAUAUGAGAAAAAGUACUGCUGCCUCAUCAAUCCUAAGUGUCAUAGUAGUAUCUUGAUUAUAAGCAAAGAGAAAAUCUUGUCAUACAGUAAAUUCAACCUAUAUUUGGAGUUUUUAGAAUACAGGAGAUCACUUUUGUAUACCAUAUUGGUAAAGUUUGUUCAUCAAGUUCCAAACUGUAGCCACCUUAAUUAUCUCAAAAAAAUUGUUUUGGCCAUUAACUGUAACAUAUUUUUUAGCAAAUACUUACUGGUUUUUAGUGAAAGAUGAUGUAAUUCUAUAUGUAAUUAAAGGUUUCUGAGUCAGGUCACUACAUUGCUUUUGUAAACAAAAGAAUAUUACGUGUUGUUUGUUACACUGGAAAGUUGCAUGUUGUAGAGUGUUCCCCGUCAUGUUAUACAGAUAAUAAUCCCUUGAAGGAUAUCAUUAGAUAUUUAUUGUUUAUUGGGCACCCAUAGGCUUUUUUUUUUUUUUGUAAUAAUUUUGAAGUAUGAAUUUAUCUUGAUGCCAAUCAUUAAACCUUUUAGGUUGUUACUAUCAUAUUAACUUUUAUUCAAAGAUAUUUUGUCUGAAUAAAAGAGGUGGAAUCUUUUAUCAUAUGUUUCCUCCCUUAUUUCAGCCCAAUUCUAUCUCAGCCACUAGUCCUCUGUUUCAUCAAAACUUAUCUCUGUCACUACUCCCGUUUCAAUUCACAAGAACUUUACUUCUGUCACUAUAUCACAAUACCACUACCAUCACCACCCUUAUUUCACCAUCAUGGAUUUGACACAAGGAUCUUUGUUUAUCACCAACGCCACAUAUAUAGUUUUUACUUUGUUUGUAUUGUCACAGUCAAUAGUAUGAAAAUGUACAAAAUUGUUAGUUUCAUGUAUUCUUACUUUAAAGAACAAACUUAACACCUAGAAUUAGACAUGAGAAAACAAGAUAAAAGAACAAGAAAAACUAGAUAUUUAAUUUAGAUUUUAUCAUUUAGCCCCCCUUAGACCUAAAAAAAAUAAAUAUUAAAAGUUGACUCUAUGUUUGAUCUUAUUUAAUUUUGUGGACCUUAGAAGCUACAAAGUUUGAACUUGGCUUGUGAAGGUAGACUUAGCUUAAUAUUGUAUAAGAACUCAUCAAUUAUUUAGAUUAACCUACAAUAAAACAAAAACACCUUUCUUCUUUAUUUGAGAAGAAUGUUGGCACAAGACAACAGAAAACUUGGACAUUACAACAAAUAUCUUGUUGUGUUCUAAAUUUGGAAGCAAAUAUCUUUUGCAUUUAGCCUUGUGAUGUAGUGGCUCUGUUAAUUUAGAAGGUGCUUAUACUUUUAAGUCUUGGAUUCAAAUUAUUGCCAAGAUUGUGAAAAGUCUAUGAGAGGGAUGGGUUAUUCUGUAGGUUAGCAAUUGUUGAAGAAAUAUGGAAGGAACAUAAAUUUUGACAUGACAUUUUUUAGGAAAAAGCAAGUUGUGAGUGGAAUAAUAAUAAACCCUCAAAAAUGCUUUUUAACAUUAUUCAUUGAUACCAAAUCUUAUAUUUAAGUUGUUAAGAAACAAAUUUAUUCAAAAACUUCCCCUAAUAGUAGUUUCUAUCUUUUGCGUAUGUCCCAUGAUUAUGCAUAGUUAAUUGAAGAGGUUUCUAGGAUUAAGGGUUUUCAAAUCUUGCAUUAAUCUUUCCAUGGAUAUUAAUGCAAUUAAGACCUUAUAUAUUCAUUUACAUUGUAACGAGUGAAAAAUAUAUUUAAGUACACUUUUCCUCUGCAUGGUAUCAAGGCAACCUUGGGAAUUAAUUUAAAGUAUUUUUAAUUGUUCUACCUUUAUUUCCUCUUGUAUGCACCCAUUGAUUCACUUAUGGAAGUGUUAUUAGAAGUUGAGAUAUCCAACAAACCAAAGACAUCAAUCCAAUCUGAUAAAGUUCCUCUUAGGAUAGGUUUGUCGAUGACGGGGGAACUCAAACAUAUUCGCUCUUCUUAUCGAUUGCAUGAUAAGUAGUUAAAGUGGUCUCAAAUGGUUCGUACAUUUCUCAAAGGAAAGGGAAAACUCAAUCACUUUUUGAGCAAUGGUCCAAAAUUAGAUGACUAACAUUCGUCAUAUGGGAUGAGGAAGAUUCGAUGGUAAAGUGUGGUUAUGGACAACAAUGGUGCCAAAGAUUAGUGAUAUAUGUAUGUUUCUAACCACAACUAAGGAGAUUUGGGACGUGAUUCAACAAACAUAUUCAAAAAAGAAUCAUUUGACACAAAUAUAUGACAUUAAGAUCAAGCUCAUAACCAUUCAACAAGGUAGUUGCUUUGUUAUUGAAUAUACAAACAUGUUGAUGAAUUUAUGGCAAGAAAUGGAUUACUAUAGGUGUAUUACAAUGAAGAAUAGUGGCGAUGUUGUCACACUCAAACUUCAUUUGAAAGGAUAAAACCUAUGAUUUUUCAAUUAGGCUCAAGGUUGAAUUUGAUCAAGUCCGAGUAUAGAUUUAUGGCAAGGAAGAAUUACCUUAAAUGAAAUUAUUGUCAUUAUUAGAAUCAAGGAGAGUGGGAAGGAUGUUAUGCUAAAUGAUUCAACCAUUGAAGGAUAUGCAUUAGCUACUUUUAGACCCAAAGAAACGACAUAUACUCGACCAAUAAUCUCAUUUGUUGAGACUGACAAGCAAGAAAAUAAGACCAAUAUGUUUUACAAUUAUUGCAAAAUGAAAAAAGGGAUAUGUCAUAGAUUGGUGUUGUAGGCUUCAUGGAAACCACCAAAUGUUGGCCGAAAUGGAGGAUCCAAUAAUUGAUGGCAAAAAGGGUAGGCAAACCUGACAAAUCUAAAUGGUGAUAGUUUAGAACAGCCAGAGGUGUCAAGCAACGAAGUAUUGAAUAAAACUAAUAUUGAGAAGUUGAGGUCCCUAACUGACAACCUUGAGCAUAAAGUACAUGUUCAUUUGCACAAUCAAGUAUGUUUCCUUCCACACAUAUAGUUAGUGCCUCAAAUUAUAAUAACUUCCAAGUCUUGGAUAUUAGAUUUUGGAGUGACUAACCAUAUGAUGCACCUUUCACUUUACUUUUUCACUUACACCCUAUGUCUUAGUUUUAGGAAAUUUUUGAAUGUAGAUGGGUCAUAUGUAACCAUAGUUGGAAUAUGAAAUAUCAGUUUAAACCCUUCAAUAACUUUAAGUGAUUUCUAUCAUGUGCCAAAAUUUGAAUCUUUAUCCAAAUUCUUACAAGUCAAAUGAAUUGUAGUAUGACUUUUUUUUACCAAACCAUGUGUUUUGUAAGACCAAGUCACAAGAAUGAUGAUUUGGUGUGCCAAGGAGUGUAGAGAUCUUUACUAUCUUUAGAUGCCAAAUAAUAAAUAGAAAGUCACAAUGCCUACCUCAUUGUUGUCCAAAAUAUAUGCAUCCAAGCACUUUUAAAUUGGCUUCACCACUAUCGGAUGGAUCAUCCUUCAUUUAUUGUUCUAAGUGUGAUGUUUCUUUUCCUAUUUAUAUUGUGAAUGUUAGUCAAUUUUGAUGUGGCAUUUGUGAGUUUUCCAGGCAUAAAUGUGUUUUGUUUUCAACAAGUAAUGAAAAUUUUUGUUUUUCCCUUUCAUUUACUUCAUUUUGAUGUAUAAGGAUCUUAUGAUGUCUUAAAUGUCUGAGGGGCUAAAUGGUUUGUUAUGUUCAUAGAUGAUAACACUCGAGUCACAUGAGUCUCUUUUAAAACAAAAAUCUGACAUUAGCAUUGUGUUUCACACUUUUUAUAACAUGAUUUAAAAUUAAUUUGGAGUUAUGAUUAAGAAAAUAAGAUUAGACUAUGCUAGGGAUUAUUUCAAUUGAACACUCUUAUUUGCAAAAUAAAGGAAUAAUCAAUGACUCAUUUUGUAUUGAUACCUUUUAACAAAAUGGGUAGUUAAAAGAAAAGUGGAUACCUCUUUAGUACAUCUUAUUCCUUUUUACUUCAAAAUAAAGUUCCAAAGUGCCUAUGGGGUGAGGUUGGUUUUUACAUCAACUCAUUUUAUUAAUUGCACUCUAUCUUGAGUUCUUGAUUUUCAAAAUCCUUGGAAAGUUUUACAUAAUCACAUGGAUCUUCGUUGGGUGUGUUGCAUUUAUUUAAAUUUAUAUUUAAGAUUGACAUAAACUUUACCCAUGACCAAUUAAAUAUGUUUUUGUGGGAUAUUCCCCUACUAAAAAAUUUACAAAUAUUACCAUCCACCGCUUUGAGAUUUCUUCAUCUUGGCUAACAUUACUUUUAUGGAAUACUAGUGUUUUUUUGGCUCAGGCUCGAUCAUAGUUUGAUUUGGUUGGGCUCGAUCAUAACUCAACUUGGUUGAGCUUGAAUGGAUCAAGCUUGAGGUAGGAUAUUAAGUUUGGUUGGUAAUCAAGUCAAAAUCAAAUUGGGAUAUAUUUGGUUCAAUAUAGCUUGCGGGUCAAGCUCAAUUCAACUUGGUUUUCAAAAUGGUCAUUUUGGUAAAGGUAAAAACAACGUCAGUUUAAUAAUGGUCAAAACAUCGCUUUGAUAAUGGUGAAAGUGUUAUUGUUUUAACCAACCCUUCCCCUACUAUAUCGGUUUCUCAAUCCUUUAUUUGAAUAUGGAAAUUUUAAUUUGAUUUCCCAAUUUUACAAUCUAAAAAAUAUUUUCCAAUUACAAAAAUUUUUCCCCUAGUAUCAAUUUCUUAAUGAUUAGUCAUUAACUAGUUGCAUAGCUGUAUUGACAGUGGACUUUAUCACCUUCAUGAGUCAACUUUUUGUUUAUUUUUAUUUUUAUCUUGUUUGUUAAUUGUUGCAUAGUUUUUCAUUGCCACGAUUUUGUCAUCACUCCAAUGUCCAAUAAAACCCUAAAUCUAAACUAACUUGUUUUAAAGUGAAACAACUAUUCCCUUUUUGGUUCUUUGUUGCAUGCCAUUGUCUUGGUGCAUGUGAAUGAAUGGUUCAUAGUCCUGACAGGCUUGUAUUUGAAAAUAUGAUUAUAGGUGUCAAAUGUGAAAAUUGUCAAUGAGAUUGUUGUAUUUAGAUUAUUUUGUAAUGUUUGGAAGAUAAAUAUUUUCAAUGUUUGAGGAUAUUGUUGAAAAUAAAUUUUCGGAGGGGCAUUGUGGAUUCAUUAUGAGGUUUGAAAGAACAUCAAGGAGCUCAAGUUGAUUGGCCUGAGCUUGUUGCUAUAGUAUCAAAUCUAAUCAAGUUGAGUUCAAGCAAGCAUCAUCUUUCGUAUUGAGCUCAAGCUUCGACUUUUAUUUGUUAAACCAAGUUCGAACUUGGUUCAAUUUGAAAAAAAUAGACAAAUAUUUUGUAACCUAAUUUUUUUUUUGGGUGACAAAUGUGUAGUUUUAUUUGUGUUGAUAUUUCAAUGUACAACAUAAAUAAUAUUUUUAAUUUAUUAUAUAUUAUUAUAAUAAAUAAUCAUGAUAACUACUUGUAAA